RNA transcript from Myripristis murdjan (pinecone soldierfish), 2275 nucleotides. It is a transcript of the gene named RAD23 homolog B, nucleotide excision repair protein, with no coding region annotated. The record is from RefSeq and is a predicted model, not a curated record. NCBI's taxonomy places the organism in Eukaryota, Metazoa, Chordata, Actinopteri, Holocentriformes, Holocentridae. The transcript is spliced from 5 exons.
GAAAAACCUAAACUUGGAGACAUGACGUCGUCUGACGCUACAGUCCCGGUGAGGCGAAUCAUCUGAACAGGACAGGAAGUCAAUUAGGUGACGUCAACAUGUCGACAUGUCAGGUAAAUUCCUCAACAAUGACACAACCCCAAAGCAAUACAAAAUCAAUCAGCAGAAGGUCGUGGCGGUUAUGGUGGAAAAGGUGUGCAAUCGUAACUGCUUCAGAAAUGGACAGGGCAUCCUAGACCAGGACGCGUGCCAGCUGUGCCCACAGGUGGUGCGAGCGGCCCUGCUAGCGCUGGCUCCUCACCAAGUGCUGAGGAUGGCACACGACUCAACUCCCUAAGAAACCAGCCCGAGCACCAUGUGAUGAGACAGCUGAUGGAGCAGAGUGCCUCCCUGUUUCCAGGCCCGCUGCAGACCAUCUGCAGGGAGAACCCCAAAUCUUCUGCAGGGCAUAAAUAACCACCAGGACAUCAUCCACAUGCUCACUGAUUUCAAUCUUGGAGCAGUGCCGGAUGUUUGCAUAGGUGAACCUGGAGAAGCAGGGCCAGCAGGACCGAUGGCAGCUGCCACAUCCACUGGAAGUCACACAAAGUCACUCCACAUCACACCUGAAGAGAGGGAGAGGAGGAACAGGACACAGUCGCUAGCUUUCCCUGUCAGUCCAAUGCAGAUAUGUGUAUUUGUGCCAACAUGAAUGUGUACAUUUCUACUCUACUGUUUUUAAUUUAUAUACACGCUUUUAACUAUAUACACACAUUUGUGCUCCAUAUAUAGUAUACGCACAUGUUUAUUUGUCAUUGUAAUGGAUAAAUCAUAUUUUCAGUCUGUAUUCUGAACAUUAGGUGCAUUUUUAUCUGCAACCACUUGCUAGUACAGGGAUGGGCAAGCGUGUCAUUGAAGGCCAAGAGUCUUCAGGUUUUCAUUCUAGCCUGUCACUGCAGCAGGUGAUUAUUUCACUGAAUAAUAAACCUUUAGCAGGAGCAACUAAUCAGUGAAAUCACCUUCUGCAGUGAAAGGCUGGAAUGAAGGCCUGAAGACUCUCCAUGGAACAUGAUUGCCCAUCCCUGAGCGAGUCUAAAUCACUCUGGCGGUAGGUCUGUCAGUCCCAAACGUGAUAGGUCUAAUACUGAUUUCCACCACCCAUGAAUGGGGGCACUGUUGUGUUGCAUGGAAUUCUUGACCCUCACACAAGCCUACAGUAGUGGUUAUGAUGAUUAAAACUAUAAGAAAGCAUCUGGACAGGAGGAGACUGAGGCGAUGAAUACUUUUUCACUUUAAAUGGGAAUAAACAGUGUAAUGACCUUUUGCUGUAACUAGGCUAACCAUGCUCUGUACACUUCAGCACCCAGUCCUGUCCCUUUCUAAGAGCCAGACAAUGUGUGCAUCAUCAGUCUCUGGGGAAAUUUCCAUUCUACAAGCCACUCUUAGAUUGAUGUUUGUAGGAUCAAUGUUAUUCAAGGAAAAUGGUAAAAAGUUCCUCCUGCAUCAGAGGCUCAGGAGGUUCAACAACGUUCCUGCAGAGAGAAACCUGUGCUCAUGUUUGUACAACGUGCAGGAGUGGAUUUUAAUGGUGAUGUUGCAUUUUUGAACAAAGAAUGGUCACAGUGACCGCCCACCGAGCAGAAUGGGCUGCUUCUGCUGAUGCUAAAGAGUCUCCAGAGGGCGCCUCUCACAAAUGAGUGUGUGAGCUGAGAGAAAAGGACAAGAAAGGAAAUGCUACAGUAAGAGUGAAGUAGGUGGAUUAUUGGUAAAGCAUCAGUGCACAAACAACAUAUAAACAUUGGUUAGACUACAUUUUACUUUUGUUUCACUCUUGGAAAUGAUCUUAUUAUUUCUGCAUAUUAUAUUCCAGCUAGUCUAGAGAAGCUUUAAGAAGAUUAAGAUUAAGAUUUUGUGUGCGUAUGACCUGCCAGAGUGUGAUACUUUACCCAUUUACCCUUUACCCACUGUACCCAUUAUACUGAGAAAUGUAAUACCAAAUCUUUAAAUUUUACACUAUGAUGUAAUGUAUGUCCCAUUUGCUAUUCUUCUCCGUUUACAGGUAUAAGGGGCAAGGAUUUCCAGAACGUCUCAUUACACAAACCUGGCUUCAUAUUAUAGAGCAUUCACCUUUUGUACUGAUACUGGAUUGUUAUUUGGUUUUGUAUGAGAACAAGCCGGUCGAUUUGAAAUGGGAGUAAAAAUUAAAAUUAGUUAUGCAUCAGAAAUCACGUAUGCGCCAUGGAUUUCUUUAUUAUACUUUAGCUAAGAGCAAAGUCAUUAUGAAAUGAAUGUUGUU